GACAGAGGUGCCAAGCGUUAGGCGGAAUCACUGGGCUUAAAGCGUGUGUAGGCGGAAUGGUAAGUACCUUGUGAAAUCCCACGGCUCAACCGUGGAACUGCUGGGUAUACUGCUUUUCUUGAGCCACUUAGGGGCUGUCGGAACAAACGGUGGAGCGGUGAAAUGCGUAGAUAUCGUUUGGAACGCCAAUGGUGAAAACAGACAGCUGGGGACGCGCCGACGCUGAGACACGAAAGCCAGGGGAGCAAACGGG
Molecule: ribosomal RNA, 253 nt
Filed under: uncultured bacterium
Lineage: Bacteria
Description: partial 16S ribosomal RNA
Rfam family: Bacterial small subunit ribosomal RNA
Source: RNAcentral